UUCUCACGUCACACUCAAGGCCUGAAUGCCUUUUCACAUCACACUCAAGGUCUAAAAGCCUUCUCACAUCACACUCAAGGCCUGAAAGCCUUAUAACAUCACUCAAGCCACCUCGUGGCAUAUAAAUGUAUCGCGGGCCCCUCGACCUUACUCAGUCCAGAAAACAUCGUAAGCCCCACGGGCAUCGAUAAAAUAGUAGUGCUCAGCCC
This 209-nucleotide long non-coding RNA is filed under the name Nicotiana benthamiana. Its description in RNAcentral is "long non-coding RNA (NBEN_LNC021736)". The record is from RNAcentral. Lineage: Eukaryota; Viridiplantae; Streptophyta; Magnoliopsida; Solanales; Solanaceae.